CCUACGGUAGGCAGCAGUGAGGAAUAUUGGUCAAUGGACGCAAGUCUGAACCAGCCAUGCCGCGUGCAGGAAGACGGCUCUAUGAGUUGUAAACUGCUUUUGUACGAGGGUAAACGCAGAUACGCGUAUCUGUCUGAAAGUAUCGUACGAAUAAGGGUCGGCUAACUCCGUGCCAGCAGCCGCGGUAAUACGGAGGAUUCAAGCGUUAUCCGGAUUUAUUGGGUUUAAAGGGUGCGUAGGCGGUCGGAUAAGUUAGAGGUGAAAUCCCGAGGCUCAACUUCGGAAUUGCCUCUGAUACUGUUCGGCUAGAGAGUAGUAGCGGUAGGCGGAAUGUAUGGUGUAGCGGUGAAAUGCUUAGAGAUCAUACAGAACACCGAUUGCGAAGGCAGCUUACCAAGCUACUUCUGACGUUGAGGCACGAAAGCGUGGGGAGCAAACAGGAUUAGAUACCCGGGUAGUC
This 460-nucleotide ribosomal RNA is filed under the name uncultured bacterium. RNAcentral's name for it is "partial 16S ribosomal RNA". It matches the Rfam family "Bacterial small subunit ribosomal RNA", at positions 338 to 795 of the family's 1533-position model. The record is from RNAcentral.